Molecule: transfer RNA, 87 nt
Filed under: Burkholderiales bacterium
Lineage: Bacteria; Pseudomonadati; Pseudomonadota; Betaproteobacteria; Burkholderiales
Also listed under: 2 other names
Description: tRNA-Ser
Rfam family: tRNA
About the family: Transfer RNA (tRNA) molecules are approximately 80 nucleotides in length.
Source: RNAcentral
GGAGAGUUGGCAGAGCGGUUGAAUGCACCGGUCUUGAAAACCGGCGAUGUUGAAAGACAUCCGUGAGUUCGAAUCUCACACUCUCCG